UUAGUGGAACGACAAAAGUGGAUGCGUUUCAGUCCAAGUUCCAUUAUUUAAGAGAACGAGAUUGCUUCAAAGAGAUAGGGUUCUCAUUGUGGUAUUGAGUUAGUUUAACUUCUGGUCUUUACUUUUUCCUUUUUAUCUAUUUGGAGAAGAUGGAUUUCAACUUGGAACAAACAUAGAAGAGAUCUUGCAUGAGAAAGAUGUGUUUUUAAGUGGACUUGGAUUGACCAAUGAUUGAUCUUGCAACAAGUCAAGAUGUGUGAAGAUGCUAUUGAAAUUCGACCACAUGUGAAGAUUUUUCGACAUGUUAAGAUAGAUGUCAUUGAUGUUGUAAUGUAUAUCUGCUUGCCUCAUAUUUUUGUUAUUAUGGAGAACGAAAUGAAGUUAUGAAUGUAGCCAAACUUUGAAGUUGUAAAGUGUUUUUUUUUAGGUCAAGUGUAGAUGUAUUUUUUUCGGUGAAUGUAUCUGAACUUUGGAAGUUGUAAAGUACUUUACUUUCAUCGAAUGUACUCCCUCCGUCCCAAAUUGUAUGUCGCUUUAGGGAAAAAAAUUGUUCCAAAUUA
Medicago truncatula (barrel medic) is the source of this 560-nucleotide long non-coding RNA. RefSeq lists it as uncharacterized. Lineage: Eukaryota; Viridiplantae; Streptophyta; Magnoliopsida; Fabales; Fabaceae. The transcript is spliced from 2 exons. The record is from RefSeq and is a predicted model, not a curated record.